Molecule: transfer RNA, 63 nt
Filed under: Pedionis papillata
Lineage: Eukaryota; Metazoa; Arthropoda; Insecta; Hemiptera; Cicadellidae
Description: tRNA-Ser
Source: RNAcentral
AGUUAUUUAGCUUAACAAAAGCAUAUAUUUUGAAAAUAUAAGAUAGAAUAAAUUUAAUAACUU